RNAcentral lists this ribosomal RNA (1442 nucleotides) under uncultured organism. RNAcentral describes it as "SSU rRNA". It matches the Rfam family "Bacterial small subunit ribosomal RNA". The record is from RNAcentral.
AACGCUAGCGACAGGCUUAACACAUGCAAGUCGAGGGGCAGCACAGGUAGCAAUACCGGGUGGCGACCGGCGCACGGGUGAGUAACGCGUAUGCAACCUACCUAUCAGAGGGGGAUAACCCGGCGAAAGUCGGACUAAUACCGCAUGAAGCAGGGGCCCCGCAUGGGGAUAUUUGCUAAAGAUUCAUCGCUGAUAGAUAGGCAUGCGUUCCAUUAGGCAGUUGGCGGGGUAACGGCCCACCAAACCGACGAUGGAUAGGGGUUCUGAGAGGAAGGUCCCCCACAUUGGUACUGAGACACGGACCAAACUCCUACGGGAGGCAGCAGUGAGGAAUAUUGGUCAAUGGCCGAGAGGCUGAACCAGCCAAGUCGCGUGAGGGAUGAAGGUUCUAUGGAUCGUAAACCUCUUUUAUAAGGGAAUAAAGUGCGGGACGUGUCCCGUUUUGUAUGUACCUUAUGAAUAAGGAUCGGCUAACUCCGUGCCAGCAGCCGCGGUAAUACGGAGGAUCCGAGCGUUAUCCGGAUUUAUUGGGUUUAAAGGGUGCGUAGACGGCCUUUUAAGUCAGCGGUGAAAGUCUGUGGCUCAACCAUAGAAUUGCCGUUGAAACUGGGGGGCUUGAGUAUGUUUGAGGCAGGCGGAAUGCGUGGUGUAGCGGUGAAAAUGCAUAGAUAUCACGCAGAACCCCCGAUUGCGAAGGCAGCCUGCCAAGCCAUUACUGACGCUGAUGCACGAAAGCGUGGGGAUCAAACAGGAUUAGAUACCCUGGUAGUCCACGCAGUAAACGAUGAACACUAGCUGUUUGCGAUACACUGUAAGCGGCACAGCGAAAGCGUUAAGUGAUCCACCUGGGGAGUACGCCGGCAACGGUGAAACUCAAAGGAAUUGACGGGGGCCCGCACAAGCGGAGGAACAUGUGGUUUAAUUCGAUGAUACGCGAGGAACCUUACCCGGGUUUGAACGCAUUCGGACCGAGGUGGAAACACCUUUUCUAGCAAUAGCCGUUUGCGAGGUGCUGCAUGGUUGUCGUCAGCUCGUGCCGUGAGGUGUCGGCUUAAGUGCCAUAACGAGCGCAACCCUUGCCACUAGUUACUAACAGGUAAAGCUGAGGACUCUGGUGGGACUGCCAGCGUAAGCUGCGAGGAAGGCGGGGAUGACGUCAAAUCAGCACGGCCCUUACAUCCGGGGCGACACACGUGUUACAAUGGCGUGGACAAAGGGAAGCCACCUGGCGACAGGGAGCGAAUCCCCAAACCACGUCUCAGUUCGGAUCGGAGUCUGCAACCCGACUCCGUGAAGCUGGAUUCGCUAGUAAUCGCGCAUCAGCCAUGGCGCGGUGAAUACGUUCCCGGGCCUUGUACACACCGCCCGUCAAGCCAUGGGAGCCGGGGGUACCUGAAGUCCGUAACCGCGAGGAUCGGCCUAGGGUAAAACUGGUGACUGGG